UAACCCAGAGAACUGAAACAUCUCAGUACCUGGAGGAAGAGAAAGAAAACUCGAUUUCGUCAGUAGCGGCGAGCGAAAGCGAAAUAGCCCAAACCGUGGGGAUUUUCCUCACGGGGUUGUAGGGUCUCUCACAUGGGAGUUACAAAGCAAUCUGCUAGUUGAACGACAUGGAAAGGUCGGCCACAGACGGUGACAGCCCGGUAAACGAAAGCGGAAUUGCCUCCCGAGAGAUACCUGAGUAGGUUCAGGCACGUGAAACCUGGACUGAAUCCACGGGGACCAUCCCGUAAGGCUAAAUACUCUCUGAUAACCGAUAGCGAACUCAGUAUGGCGACUGAAAGAUGAGAAGAACCCCUGUU
RNAcentral lists this ribosomal RNA (359 nucleotides) under Blastopirellula marina DSM 3645. RNAcentral describes it as "bacterial LSU rRNA". It matches the Rfam family "Bacterial large subunit ribosomal RNA", at positions 181 to 531 of the family's 2925-position model. The record is from RNAcentral. Lineage: Bacteria; Pseudomonadati; Planctomycetota; Planctomycetia; Pirellulales; Pirellulaceae.